RNAcentral lists this ribosomal RNA (715 nucleotides) under uncultured marine bacterium. RNAcentral describes it as "bacterial SSU rRNA". It matches the Rfam family "Bacterial small subunit ribosomal RNA", at positions 56 to 817 of the family's 1533-position model. The record is from RNAcentral.
UGCAGUCGAACGGAGUAGCAAUACUUAGUGGCAGACGGGUGAGUAACAUGUGGGUAUCUUCCCUUUGGUGAGGAAUAACACGAGGAAACUUGUGCUAAUACCUCAUAAGUCUUUACGGAGAAAGCUUUAUGCGCCAAUGGAUGAGCCUGCACUUGAUUAGUUUGUUGGUAGGGUAAUGGCCUACCAAGACUGUGAUCAAUAGCUGAUUUGAGAGGAUGAUCAGCCACAUUGGGACUGAGACACGGCCCAAACUCCUACGGGAGGCAGCAGUAGGGAAUCUUGCACAAUGGAGGAAACUCUGAUGCAGCGAUGCCGCGUGAGUGAAGAAGGCCCUUGGGUUGUAAAGCUCUUUCGUCGGGGAAGAAAAUGACUGUACCCGAAUAAGAAGGUCCGGCUAACUUCGUGCCAGCAGCCGCGGUAAUACGAAGGGACCUAGCGUAGUUCGGAAUUACUGGGCUUAAAGAGUUCGUAGGUGGUUAAAAAAGUUGGUGGUGAAAGCCCAGAGCUUAACUCUGGAACUGCCAUCAAAACUUUUUAGCUAGAGUUUGAUAGAGGAAAGCAGAAUUUCUAGUGUAGAGGUGAAAUUCGUAGAUAUUAGAAAGAAUACCAAUUGCGAAGGCAGCUUUCUGGAUCAUUACUGACACUGAGGAACGAAAGCAUGGGUAGCGAAGAGGAUUAGAUACCCUCGUAGUCCAUGCCGUAAACGAUGUGUGUU